GAUGAACGCUGGCGGCGUGCCUAAUACAUGCAAGUCGAGCGAACAGACGAGGAGCUUGCUCCUCUGACGUUAGCGGCGGACGGGUGAGUAACACGUGGAUAACCUACCUAUAAGACUGGGAUAACUUCGGGAAACCGGAGCUAAUACCGGAUAAUAUAUUGAACCGCAUGGUUCAAUAGUGAAAGACGGUUUUGCUGUCACUUAUAGAUGGAUCCGCGCCGCAUUAGCUAGUUGGUAAGGUAACGGCUUACCAAGGCAACGAUGCGUAGCCGACCUGAGAGGGGGAUCGGCCACACGGGAACUGAGACACGGUCCAGACUCCUACGGGAGGCAGCAGUAGGGAAUCUUCCGCAAUGGGCGAAAGCCUGACGGAGCAACGCCGCGUGAGUGAUGAAGGUCUUCGGAUCGUAAAACUCUGUUAUGAGGGAAGAACAAAUGUGUAAGUAACUAUGCACGUCUUGACGGUACCUAAUCAGAAAGCCACGGCUAACUACGUG
This 497-nucleotide ribosomal RNA is filed under the name uncultured bacterium. RNAcentral's name for it is "partial 16S ribosomal RNA". It matches the Rfam family "Bacterial small subunit ribosomal RNA", at positions 28 to 507 of the family's 1533-position model. The record is from RNAcentral.